UUAUUCAAUUUAAUACCUCAAACGCACGUUCCGAUCACGAUUAUGUCUCUUUAACCUCAAUCGAAGUGUCAACCAUUGAAUUAGGGUUUUUCUAAUUGUUUAUCAUCGAUUGUUCAAUGAUGAACGGCGUACAAAGGACAUCCACAAUCUAACAACCGCUGCCGUUUUGCUCAUACCCACAUCUUCGAUUUAUUCCAUUUGAUUCACGUAACCGGGUUGCGUAUUUGUUAGUACAAUAACAUGCUCGUGGCAUACAUUGAUACAACACAAGUGCCUUCAACAACUACCGAUGUACAUCAAAUCGAGGAGAUUAUGAAAAAUCACUGAUCGAGCCAUUAUUUAUUUGUGGAUACAAAGGUUUCCCUGAUUAUGCUAAAUCAGACUGGAAGUCGGUUCACCAUUUGGGCUUGAUGUAAUGAAUGAUGGAAUAGUUGCUUCAUCUUUUUCUUGAUGAUACAUGGUCUGGACUAUCAUGCACUAUAACUUUGGCAAAAAACUGGAUGGGUCAGAACAGGUCAAUGCAUAAACAAGAACUGGCAAAAAACCGGAUGGGUCAGAACGGGUCAAUGCAUAAACAAGAACCAAAAGAUGAAUCUGUCAGUGUGCAACUUCUUCAGUUAGUUGAGAGCCAAUGACAAAACUUAGAAGCUAUGAUGCGGAGUAUAAAACUACUUGUUGAAGAUCGAGAUGAGUAGAUAGUUUUCUUUUCUCUUUAUUAUUGUAGUUCACACUUUGUGUUGAAUAUAUUGUUAUUUGAUUUUGGACAAACAUGUACGCCAUUUCACUAUUAAUGAUAACGAGUUUGG
Molecule: long non-coding RNA, 806 nt
Filed under: Helianthus annuus (common sunflower)
Lineage: Eukaryota; Viridiplantae; Streptophyta; Magnoliopsida; Asterales; Asteraceae
Description: hypothetical non coding rna
Source: RNAcentral